UACGGAGGGAGCAUAGCUGUUCGGUCGAAUUACUGGGCGUAAAGCGCACGUAGGCGGCUUUUUAAGUCAGGGGUGAAAUCCCGGGGCUCAACCCCGGAACUGCCCUUGAAACUGGAGAGCUAGAAUCUUGGAGAGGCGAGUGGAAUUCCGAGUGUAGAGGUGAAAUUCGUAGAUAUUCGGAAGAACACCAGUGGCGAAGGCGACUCGCUGGACAAGUAUUGACGCUGAGGUGCGAAAGCGUGGGGAGCAAACAGG
RNAcentral lists this ribosomal RNA (255 nucleotides) under uncultured bacterium. Its description in RNAcentral is "partial 16S ribosomal RNA". It matches the Rfam family "Bacterial small subunit ribosomal RNA", at positions 524 to 776 of the family's 1533-position model. The record is from RNAcentral.